Long non-coding RNA from Carassius carassius (crucian carp), 557 nucleotides. RefSeq lists it as uncharacterized. The record is from RefSeq and is a predicted model, not a curated record. Lineage: Eukaryota; Metazoa; Chordata; Actinopteri; Cypriniformes; Cyprinidae. The transcript has 3 exons.
UGGGGUAUGGCAAAGAAGGAAGGAUUACACUCCAGUGGAUUAGGAUCCUGUGCAAAUAGAUGCCCAGCAUCUGCAACAUGAUUAUUGUUCAGUUCCAGAACCCACGGCAGUUGAUAAUGCACUGAAUUAAACUUAGAAUCUCUGUAAAGAGGUGGACCGAAUAAGGAGACAGGUGGAGGAAUUGUCGGUCAGUCAAAGGUUUUGUUUGGGGUGAUUUGCUGCUUCCGAUGAUGAUGUAAGGUUCUACACUAGGUUUGUGACUAACAGCCAUUUAAUGGCUUUCUGGAAACUCAUUGAACCUGCAUCCCACAACAUGAUUCGUGUGUCAAGAGCAAGAGCAACUACAACAAGGACUGAAGCUGGAACAACAGGCAGUGCAUGGGGUCAGUCUCUGCAGCCCAUUGAUGAGUUCUUCCUCUUCGUGGUCCACCUCUCAGUUGGUCUAAAACAGCGAGAUCUGGCCCACAGAUUCAACAUCCAUCAGUCCACAGUUGGCAGAAUUAUUACAACCUGGGCCAAUUUUUUGUACACUUUUCUUGGGUCUGUCCGCAUAUGAA